GCGACGCCGCGUGAGUGUGAGGCUUCUGGAUGUAAAGCUCUUUUUCAGGGAAGAAAAUGACGGUACCUGACUAAGAAGCCCCGGCUAACUACCUGCCAGCCGCCGCGGUAAUGUACCAGCCGCCGCGGUAAU
Molecule: ribosomal RNA, 132 nt
Filed under: uncultured bacterium
Lineage: Bacteria
Description: partial 16S ribosomal RNA
Source: RNAcentral